UAUAUUUGCUUCAGAUUUGGUUCUCCGCUCCCCGUCGCGGGAGGGUGUGAAAAGGGAAUCGGGUGCAAAUCCCGGACAGUCCCGCUGCUGUGAAGCCCCGUGACGUUCCGAAUAUCUCAGCCACUGCCCCGCGGGGCGGGAAGGCUUCGGGACAGGGGUCAGUCAGAAGACCUGCCAGAUCGAUUCGUUGUCG
This 193-nucleotide non-coding RNA is filed under the name Alistipes sp. The record is from RNAcentral. Lineage: Bacteria; Pseudomonadati; Bacteroidota; Bacteroidia; Bacteroidales; Rikenellaceae.